AGAGUUUGAUCAUGGCUCAGGACGAACGCUGGCGGCGUGCCUAAAACAUGCAAGUCGAACGAGGCCUUCGGGUCUAGUGGCGAACGGCGGAGUAAUACAUGAACAACGUGCCCCUAAGUCUGGGACAAACGCAGAAAUGUUAUAAAUACCAGAUGUGGCCGGAGAAGGACAUCCUUUUCCGAUUAAAGGUUUUCGCUUAGGGAGCGGUUCAUGGCCUAUCAGCUAGUUGGUGGGGUAACGGCCUACCAAGGCGACGACGGGUAGGGGGUCUAAGAGGAUGAUCCCCCCGAGUGGGACUGAGACACGGCCCACACACCUACGGGUGGCAGCAGUUGGGAAUCUUGCACAAUGGGGGAAACCCCUGAUGCAGCGACGCCGCGUGGAGGAUGACGGAUCUAGGUCUGUAAACUCCUUUUCAGGGAAAGACUUAGGACGGUACCCUGAGAAUAAGGACCGGCUAACUACGUG
Molecule: ribosomal RNA, 468 nt
Filed under: uncultured bacterium
Lineage: Bacteria
Description: bacterial SSU rRNA
Rfam family: Bacterial small subunit ribosomal RNA
Source: RNAcentral